UUUUUGUAUGUUGAGCACUUGAUUAUUGAAAGUCGCCUAGAGGGGGGUGAAUAGGCGGAAUUUGAAAAUUAUAAACUUAAGCACACACUACAAGCCGGGGUUAGCGUUAGAAAUAAAAUCGAGUUCGAAAGAGAGGGUGAAAAUAAAUCAAAAGCAAAUGAAGUGGAUGACACGGUGAUUUGUUUUAUCGAGGUUCGGUUCUUGCAAACCUACUCCCCGUUGAGGUGGUCACAAAGACCGGGUCUCUUUCAACCCUUUCCCUUUCUCAAACGGUCACCUAGACCGAGUGAGCUUUUCUCCUUAAUCAAACAGGUCACUUUGACCCCUACAAGGACAACCACAACUUGGUGUCUCUUGCUUUGAUUACAAGUGUCUUGAGAACAAGAAAGAGGAAGAAGAAAAGCGAUCCAAGCGCAAGAGCUCAAAGAAGACGAGCAAAACUUUCUCUUCUAGCACUAAUUGCUUUGAGUGGAAUUGAGACUUGGAGAGGCUUUGAUUCAAUCUAAUUAUGUCUUGUAUUGAAUGCACUAGCUCUUGUAUUGAGUGAGAUGUCUGAAAAACUUGGAUGCAUUGAAGUGUGGUGGUUGGGGGUAUUUAUACCCCCAACCACCAAAACAGCUGUUGGGGAAGUCUGCUGUCGAAGGGCGCACCGAACAGUCCGGUGCGCCACCGGACACUGUCCGGUGCGUCAGCCACGUCACCCAACCGUUAGGGUUCUGACGGUUUCGACCGUUGGAGCUCUGUCUUAAUGGGGCACCGGACAGUCUGGUGCCGCACCGGACAGGUACUGUUCACUGUCCGGUGCGCCUUCUAGCGCUGCUCUGACUCUGCACGCACAGUCCACACGCUGUUCACUGUUCACUGUUGCUUUGCAGACGACCGUUGGCGCAGUAGUCAUUGCUCCGCAUGACACACCUGACAGUCCGGUGCUACACCAGACAGUUCGAUAAAUUAUAGCGGAGUGGCAUUUCCAAAAACCCGAAGGUGGCAAGUUUGAGUUGAUCCACCCUGGUGCACCGGACUGUCCGGUGCGCCAGACCAGGGCACACUUCGGUUUUCUUUGCUCCCUUUGUUUUGAACCCUAACUUGUUCUUUUUAUUGGUUUGUGUUAAACCUAUGACACCUGUAGAACAUAUAAUCUAGAGCAAACUAGUUAGUCCAAUUGUUUGUGUUGGACAAUUCAACCACCAAAAUCAUUUAGGAAAAGGUUUGACCCUAUUUCCCUUUCAAUCUCCCCCUUUUUGGUGAUUGAUGCCAACACAAACCAAAGCAGAUAUAUAAGUGCAGAAUUGAACUAGUUUGUAUAAUGUAAGUGCAUAGGUUGCUUGGAGUGAAACCAAUAUAAUUAUUUUAAUAGAUAUGCAUGGAUUGCUUUCUUCUAUUUUAACAUUUUGGACCACGUUUGCACCAUGAGUUUUGUUUUUGCAAAUUCUUUGGAAAAUUCUUUUCAAAACCCUUUUGCAAAUAGUCAAAGAUAUAUAAAUAAAAUUUGAAAGAAACAUUUUCAAGAUUUGAGAUUUUCUCCCCCUGUUUCAAAUGCUUUUCCUUUGACUUUAAACAAAACUCCCCCUAAAUGAAAUUCUCCUCUUAGCUUUCAAGAGGGUUUUGGGAUAUAUUAAUUGAGAUACUCUCAUUAGGGGAAUACCAAUUUGAAAGAUACUAAUACCAAUAAAAAUUUUCAAAACAUAAUUAAAAAAUUAGGUGGUGGUGUGGCGGUCCUUUUGCUUUGGGCUAAUACUCUCUCCCCCUUUGGCAUGAAUCACCAAAAACGGAGACUUUGUGAGCCCUUUUAAAAAUUCUCUCCCACUUUAGCAAACAAUAUAUGAGUGAAAGAUUAUACCAAUGGAGAGAUGGCGGAAUACCGACAAAGAGUAGAUAAUACCGAUGGAGUUGAGUGGAAGCGUCGUCUUUGCCGAAUACUCCAUUUCCCUUUCAAUUCUAUGACUAAGUAUGAGAAUACACUUGAAAACACAAUAGUCAUAGACAUAAAAGAGAUAUGAUCAAAGGUAUAUAAAUGAGCUAUGUGUGCAAAGUAUCAAUCAAAGUUUCGAGAAUCAAGAAUGUUUAGCUCAUUCCUAAGUUUGGUAAAGGUUUUCUCAUCUAGUGGUUUGGUAAAGAUAUCGGCUAGUUGAUCUUUGGUGUUAAUAUAGGCUAUCUCGAUAUCCCCCCCUUUGUUGGUGAUCUCUCAAAAAGUGAUAUCGAAUGGCUAUGUGCUUAGUGCGGCUGUGUUCAACGGGAUUAUCCGCCAUGCGGAUUGCACUCUCAUUAUCACAUAGGAGAGGGACUUUGCUAAAUUUGUAGCCAUAGUCCCUAAGGGUUUGCCUCAUCCAAAGCAAUUGCGCGCAAAAAUGGCCUGCGGCAAUAUACUCGGCUUCGGCGGUAGAAAGAGCUACUGAGUUUUGUUUCUUUGAAGCCCAAGACACCAGGGAUCUCCACAGAAACUGACAAGACCCUGAUGUGCUCUUCCUAUCAAUUUUGCACCCUGCCCAAUCGGCAUCUGAAUAUCCUAUUAAAUCAAAAGCGGAUCCCUUGGGGUACCAAAGCCCAAACUUAGGAGUAUAAACUAAAUAUCUCAAGAUUCUCUUUACGGCCCUAAGGUGAACUUCCUUAGGAUCGGCUUGGAACCUUGCACACAUGCAUACGGAAAGCAUAAUAUCCGGUCGAGAUGCACAUAAAUAGAGUAAAGAUCCUAUCAUCGACCGGUAUACCUUUUUAUCUACGGAUUUACCUGCCCUGUCGAGGUCGAGAUGCCCAUUGGUUCCCAUGGGUGUCUUGAUGGGCUUGGCAUCGUUCAUUCCAAACUUGGUGAGUAUGUCUUGAAUGUACUUCGUUUGGCUGAUGAAGGUGCCCUCUUGGAGUUGCUUGACUUGAAAUCCUAGAAAAUACUUCAACUCCCCCAUCAUAGACAUCUUGAAUUUUUGGACCAUGAUCCUACUAAACUCUUCAUAAGUAGAUUUGUUAGUAGACCCAAAUAUGAUAUCAUCAACAUAAAUUUGGCAUACAAACAAGUCUUUUGCAAUAGUUUUAGUAAAGAGAGUAGGAUCGGCUUUACCGACUUUGAAGCCAUUAGUGAUUAAAAAGUCUCUUAGGCAUUCAUACCAUGCUCUUGGUGCUUGCUUAAGCCCAUAGAGCGCAUUGGAGAUCUUAUAGACAUGGUUAGGGUACUCACUAUCUUCAAAGCCUGGAGGUUGCUCAACAUAGACCUCUUUCUUGAUUGGUCCAUUGAGGAAGGCACUUUUCACGUCCAUUUGAUAAAGCUUAAAGCCAUGGUAAGUAGCACAGGCAAGUAAUAUACGAAUUGACUCAAGCCUAGCUACGGGUGCAUAGGUUUCACCGAAAUCCAAACCUUCGACUUGCGAAUAGCCUUUGGCCACAAGUCGUGCUUUGUUCCUUGUCACCACACCAUGCUCAUCUUGCUUGUUGCGAAAUACCCACUUGGUUCCUACAACAUUUUGAUUAGGACGUGGAACUAAAUGCCAUACCUCAUUCCUCGUGAAGUUGUUGAGUUCCUCUUGCAUCACCAGCACCCAAUCCAAAUCUUUAAGUGCAUCCUCAACCCUGUAUGGCUCAAUAGAGGAGACAAAAGAGUGAUGUUCACAAAAAUGAGCGACUCGAGAUCGAGUAGUUACCCCCUUAUGGAUGUCACCAAGAAUGGAGUUCACGGGGUGAUCUCUUUGAAUCGCUUGGUGGACUCUUGGGUGUGGCGAUCUUUGACAUUGUUCAUCUUCCUUGUCUUCAUCAUUGUCAUCUCCCCCUUGAUCAUUGCCCUCCUCUUGAGGUGGCUCAUCUUCUUGAUCUUCUUCUUCAUCAUCUUGAACUUGUUCCUCAUCUUGAGUUGGUGGAGAUGCUUGUAUGGAAGAUGAUGGUUGAUCUUGUGCUUGUGGAGGCUCUUCGGAUUCCUUAGGACACACAUCCCCAAUGGACAUGUUCCUUAGCGCGACGCACGGAGCCUCUUCAUCAUCUAGCUCAUCAAGAUCAACUUGCUCUACUUAAGAGCCAUUAGUCUCAUCAAACAUAAUGUCACAAGAAACUUCAACUAGUCCAGUGGACUUGUUAAAGACUCUAUAUGCCCUUGUGUUUGAGUCAUAACCAAGUAAAAAGCCUUCUACAGACUUAGGAGCAAAUUUAGAUUUUCUACCUCUUUUAACAAGAAUAAAACAUUUGCUACCAAAGACUCUAAAAUAUGAAACAUUGGGCUUUUACCGGUGAGGAGUUCAUAUGAUGUCUUCUUGAGGAUUCGGUGAAGGUAGAGCCGGUUGAUGGAGUAGCAGGCUGUGUUAAUCGCCUCGGCCCAAAACCGGUCCGGUGUCUUGUACUCAUCAAGCAUGGUCCUCGCCAUGUCAAGUAGAGUUCUAUUCUUCCUCUCCAUUACACCAUUUUGUUGAGGUGUGUAGGGAGAAGAGAACUCAUGCUUGAUGCCCUCCUCCUCAAGGAAGCCUUCAAUUUGAGAGUUCUUGAACUCCAUCCCAUUAUUGCUUCUUAUUUUCUUGAUCCUCAAUCUGAACUCAUUUUGAGCCCGUCUCAAGAAUCCCUUUAAGGUCUCUUGGGUGUGAGAUUUUUCCUGCAAAAAGAAUACCCAAGUGAAGCGAGAAUAGUCAUCCACAAUUACAAGACAAUACUUACUCCCGCCGAUGCUUAUAAGCUAUCGGGCCGAAUAAAUCCAUGUGGAGUAGCUCAAGCGGCCUGUCGGCCGUCAUAAUGUUCUUGUGUGGAUGGUGGGUACCAACUUGCUUUCUUGCUUGACAUGCACUACAAAUCCUGUCUUUCUUAAAAUGAACAUUGGUUAGUCCCAAAAUGUGCUCUCCCUUUAGAAGCUUGUGAAGAUUCGUCAUCCCAACAUGGGCUAGUCGGCGAUGCCAGAGCCAACCCAUAUUAGUCUUAGCAAUUAAGCAAGUGUCGAGUUCAGCUCUAUUGAAAUCAACUAAGUAUAGCUGACCCUCUAACACUCCCUUAAAUGCUACUGAAUCAUCACUUCUUCUAAAGAUAGUAACACCUAAAUCUGUAAAAAGACAGUUGUAACCCAUUUUGCAUAAUUGAGAAACUGAAAGCAAAUGGUAAUCUAAUGAAUCUACAAGAAAAACAUUGGAAAUAGAAUGGUCAGGUGAUAUAGCAAUUUUACCAAGUCCUUUGACCAAACCUUGAUUUCCAUCCCCGAAUGUGAUAGCUCUCUGGGGAUCUUGGUUUUUCUCAUAGGAGGAGAACAUCCUUUCUCCCCAGUUAUGUGGUUUGUGCACCCGCUAUCAAUGAUCCAACUUGAGCCCCCGGAUGCAUAAACCUACAAAACAAGUUUAGGCCUUGUUCUUAGGUACCCAAACGGUCUUGGGUCCUUUGACAUUAGAAACAAACACCCUGGGUACCCAAACACAAGUCUUUGAGCCCUUGUGCUUGGCCCCAACAUAUUUGGCAACUACUUUGCCUAAUUUGUUAGUUAAAACAUAAGAAGCAUCAAAAGUCUUAAAUGAAACAAUAGGCUCAUUUGAUGCAGUAGGAGUUUUCUUUUUAGGCAAUUUAACAUGAGUGGAUUGCCUAGAACUAGAUGCCUCACUCUUAUACAUAAAAGCAUGAUGAGAGCCAGAGUGAGACUUCCUAGAAUGAAUUUUCCUAAUAUUAUCCUUAGGAUAACCAGCAGGAUAUAAAAUAUAGCCCUUGUUAUCUUGAGGCAUGGGAGCCUUGCCCUUAACAAAGUUAGACAAUCUCUUAGGGGCAUUUAGUUUAACAUUGCCUCCCUGUUGGAAGCCAAUGCCAUCCUUAAUGCCAGGGUGUCUCUCACUAUAGAGCAUGCUUCUAGCAAAUUUAAAAUUUUCAUUUUCUAAGUCAUGCUCAUUAAUUUUAGCACUAAGUUGGGCUAUGUGAUCAUUUUGUUGUUUAAUUAAAGCUAGGUGAUCAUGGAUAGCAUCAACAUUAAUGUCUCUACAUCUAGUACAAAUAGAAACAUGAUCAACAGUAGAUGUAGAGGGUUUGCAAACAUUUAAUUCAUUAAUCUUAGCAUGUAACAUGGCAUUUUCAUUUCUAAGAUUGGAAAUAACAUCAUUGCCAACCUUUAAAUCCUUAGCCUUAGCAAUUAAUUUUUCAUUCUCAAUCUUAAGGCUAGCAAUUGAUUCAUUCAACUUGUCAAUUUUAGCAAUUAAACUAGCAUUAUCAUUUUUAAGGUUGACAAGAGAAUCAUCACAUAUAUUUGACUUCUCAAUUUUAGCAAUCAAAUUAGCAUUCUCAAUUCUAAGGUUGGAGAUAGUGUCAUGGCAAGUGCUAAGCUCACUAGUCAAUUUUCACAUUUUUCUAUCUACUGAGCAUAAGCAUUUUAACUUUAACAUGCUUCUUGUUUUCCUUAAUUAGGAAUUCCUCUUGGCUAUCCAAGAGUUCAUCCUUCUCAUGAAUAGCUCCUAUCAAUUCAUUCAAUUUUUCUUUUUGUUGCAUGUUUAAGUUGGCAAAAAGAACAAGCAAGUUAUCUUCAUCAUCACUAGAGCUACUCUCAUCACUAGAUAUUGCAUAUUUAGUGGAGCCUCUAGAUUUUACCUUCUUCUUUUUGUCGUCCUUUGCCAUGAGGCACUUGUGGCCGACGUUGGAGAAGAGAAGUCCCUUGUUGACGGCGAUGUUGGCGGCGUCUUCGUCGGAGGAGGAGUCGGUGGAGCUCUCAUCGGAGUCCCAUUCCCGACAUACGUGGGCAUCGCCGCCCUUCUUCUUGUAGUACUUCUUUUCCUUUCUCCUUCCCUUCUUGUCGUCGCCCCUGUCACUAUCACUAGAUAAUGGACAUUUAGCAAUAAAAUGACCGGGCUUACCACACUUGUAGCAAACUUUCUUGGAACGGGGUUUGUAGUCUUUCCCCUUCCGUUGCUUGAGGAUUUGACGGAAGCUCUUGAUGAUGAGCGCCAUCUCCUCGUUGUCGAGCUUGGAGGCGUUGAUGGGAAGCCUACUUGAUGUAGACUCUUCUUUCUUCUCCUCCGUUGCUUUGAAGGCAACGGGUUGCACCUCGGGUGUUGAGGUGGCGCCUCUAAAAGGGAAAUGUGCCCUUGGGCAAUUUCUAUUAUGUUUUGGUGAUUAAGUGCCCAACACAUUUAAUUAAGUUCUUAUGUGCUAAAUGAAGAGAAAAGUGCAAAUCAAGACAUGAGGUAUGUUUCUAGACUUAGUACAUUUGCUUUUGAAUACUGAUGAAGUUAUCUAAGUGUUAGAAACAGAGAAAAGAAGAAAAGAAAAGGAUUGCAAAAGACUGGCUGUGUGCAGCCGAAGCUCAGCUCAGUCUGGCACACCGGACAGUCCGGUGGUGCACCGGGCAAUGUCCGGUGCGCCAGGCUGGACUCCGGUGAGAAGGCUGCUCUCGGGAAAAGUUUGGCGGUGUACGACUAUAAUUCAUCGGACUGUCCGGUGGUGCACCGGACUGUCCGGUGAGCCAACGGUCAGCCGCGCAAUCCGCGGGCGACGCGUGGCCCGCGCCAACGGUCGGCAGGGGGCACCGGACUAUCCCGAAGCUGCAACGGUCGUCUGCGCUAGAAAAGGAAGGAGAUCGGCACCGGACCAUCUACACUGACUAUCCGGUGGCGCACCGGACUGUCCGGUGCGCCACUCGACAAAAGGCAAGGAUAGCCUUCCUUGUUGAUAUUCAACGGCUCCUAGCUGCCUUGGGGCUAUAAAAGGGACCCCUAGGUGCAUGGAGGAGAAAAACAAGCAUUCACUAAGCAUCCUAAGGCAUCCAGACUUUGUUCCCGCGCAUUCGUUUCGUUGUGUUAGAGACUUGAGCUCUAUUCGAGUUAAGGACUCCCUGUGUUGUCAUUUGAGCUCAAGUCUUCUCUUGUGUGCGUGGGUAUGCUGCGAUUUAUGUCUUGUGUGUGUUGCUCAUCCCAACCUUACUCCAUGCUUUCAUUGUGAUCUUUGUUGUAAGGGCAAGAGACUCCAAUCUUGUGGAGAUUCCUCGCAAACGGGAAUAAUCAUCUCAAGGAAAAACCGUGGUAUUCAAGUUGAUCAUCGGAUCACUUGAAAGGGGUUGAGUGCAACCCUCGUCCAUUGGGACGCCAUAACGUGGAAGUAGGCAAGUGUUACUUGGCCGAACCACGGGAUAAAAAUCGUGUGUCUUGUGUUGAUCUUUCUGUGAUUGUUUUGUCCACAAGAAUUCGCUUCUCAACUACUUAGUCGCACUAACAUUUCUAUAACCAAGUUGUGUGGCUAUUUAGUGUUGAAUUUUAUAGGAUCACCUAUUCACCCCCCCUCUAGGUGCUCUCAAUUGGUAUCAGAGCCGUUCUCUUCACAUAAGGGACUAAUCGCCCGAAGAGAUGGAUCCUAAGGGAAAGGGGAUGGUGGUCAACGACAAGGAGAAGGAGUCCAUCUUCAACGAGCCAAGAGAUGACAAGCCCACUGACUCUGGCUCGAGUCACAAGAAGAAGGACGGGAAGAAGAAGAGGUGCAUCAAGAAGAUCGUCUACUACGACAGCGAUGAAUCUUCUUCACCAAGAGACGACGACGACGAUGAUUCGUCUAAAAAGAAACUGGUUAAUCAAAACUAUUCAUUUGAUUAUUCUCAUAUUCCAUUCAAUUCUAAUGCUCAUUUGCUAUCAAUUCCACUUGGUAAAGCUCCACAUUUUGAUGGAGAAGACUACUCUUUUUGGAGUCACAAAAUGCGUAGUCACUUAUUUCCUCUCCAUCCUAGUAUUUGGGAGAUAGUUGAAAAUGGAAUGCAUUUUGAUAGCACGGAUAACCCUAUGUUUAUUAAUGAGCAAAUUCAUAAGAACACACAAGCUACCACUGUUUUGCGAGCAUCUUUGUGCAGGGAUGAGUACAACAAGGUGAGCGGCUUGGACAACGCCAAGCAAAUCUGGGACACCCUCAAGAUAUCUCAUGAGGGAAACGACGCCACCAUAGUCACCAAAAUGGAGUUGGUGGAAGGCGAGCUAGGAAGGUUCGCAAUGAUCAGGGGAGAGGAGCCAACACAAACAUACAACAGGCUCAAGACCCUGGUUAACAAGAUCAGAAGCUAUGGAAGCACAAGAUGGACAGACUACGACAUCGUCCAACUUAUGCUAAGGUCAUUCAUGGUAAUUGACCCCCAUCUUGUCAAUCUCAUUCGUGAAAACCCCAGGUACACCAAGAUGACACCCGAGGAGAUACUCGGAAAAUUCGUGAGCGAGCGUAUGAUGGUAAAAGAAGCGCGAUACGUGGAUGAUGCUCUUAAUGGCCCUCUACCCGUCUAUGAGCCUCAACCCGUGGCUCUCAAAGCAACAAGCAGCAGGGAGGCGCUACCAAGCAAGGUGGCACAAGUUGAGACUGCCGGGCUAAACGAAGAUGAGAUGGCCCUAAUCAUCAAACGCUUCAAGACCGCACUGAAAGUACGCAAGGAGUACCCCAACAAGAACAAAGCAAAGGGAAAACGCUCCUGUUUCAAAUGCGGUAAGACUGGUCAUUUCAUAGCACAAUGCCCCGAUAAUGAUAAUGACCAGGAAUAAGAAAAGCAUGGGAAGAGGGAGAAGAAGAAGGUUUACAAGAAGGCGAAGGGCGAGGCGCACCUUGGCAAAGAAUGGGACUUGGACUGCUCUUCAUCUGACUCCGACGAUGAAGGACUGGCAGCCUCGGCCUUCAACAAAUCUUCACUCUUCCCCAACGAACGUCACACUUGCCUCAUGGACAAGGAAAAGAAGGUAAGUGUUCGAGAUACCCCUAAGUACACUACUUCUAGCGAUGAUGAUUCUUCCGAUGAUGAAUUAGAUUACUCUAGCUUAUUCAAAGGUUUAGAUAGAGCUAAGGUAGAAAAGAUCAAUGAAUUAAUUGAUGCUCUAAAUGAAAAGGAUAGAUUGUUAGAAAACACAAGAGGAUAUUUUAUAUGAGGAGCAUGAUAAAUUUGUUAGCGUGCAAAAAUCUCUUGCUUUAGAGAUUAAAAGGAAUGAAAUGCUAUCUUCUGAGUUAUCCGCUUGCCAUGAAACUGUAUCUAGUUUAAAGAGUUUAAAUGAUGAUUUAAAUGCUAAGCUAGAGGAAGCUAAUAAAUCUAGUUCAUGUGUGGAGCAUGUUAGUAUUUGUAAUAGAUGUAAGGACUUUGAUGUUGAUGCAUGUAAUGAACAUCUUAUUGCUAUUAUAAAAUUGAAUGAUGAAGUGGCAAGUCUUAAUGCUCAACUUAAGACUUGCAAACAUGAUUUUGAUAAAUUAAAAUUUGCUAGGGAUGCCUACACAAUUGGUAGACACCCCUCUAUUAAGGAUGGACUUGGUUUUCAAAAAGAAACCAAGAACUUAACAAGCCAAAAGGCUCCCGUUCUCAACAAAGGGAAAAGGAAGGCUCCUAUGGCUAGUAGUUCUCAAAAGUGUUGAAAGGGAAAUGUGUCCUUGGGCCAUUUCUAAAGUGUUUUGGUGAUUAAGUGCCCAACACAUUUUCUCUAAGUGCUAAUUCGUGCCAAAGAGUGAAGAAAUGCAAAUCAUAUUACAAGGUAUGUUUCUAGACUUAGUGCAUUGAUUUGAGUACUAAUGUAUUGUGUCUAAGUGCUAGAAACAGGAGAAAUUGGUUUGGAAAAGAGUUGGCUGUGUACAGCCAACUGCAGCUCGAUCUGGGUGCACCGGACUGUCCGGUGGUGCACCGGACAGUGUCCAAUGCGCCAGACCAGUCUCGGUGAACAGGCCACUCUCGGGACUCGACGGUGGCGUACGGCUAUAAUUCACCGGACUGUCCGGUGGUGCACCGGACGGUCCGGUGAGUCGUCCGUGGCGAAGUCGUCGCUCUCGAGAAACGUUCAACAGCGUACGGCUAAAAUUCACCGAACUGUCCGGUGGUGCACCGAACUGUCCGGUGAGCCAACAAUCGACUGCUUCAACGGUUGGCCGCGCAAUCCGCGCGCAAUGCAUGGGCAUGCCAACGGUCGGCAGGGGGCACCGGACAGUGUCCGGUGUGCCAACUGCCGCAAAUCUGCAACGGUCGGAUGCGCCAGAAAAGGAAGGAGAUCACGCACCGGACAGCUACAGGGACUGUUGAGAGCACCUAGAGGGGGGGUGAAUAGGUGAUCCUGUAAAACUUCAAAACUUAAGCCACAAAAACUUGUUAAGUGUUAGCACAAGUAUGGCCAAGUGGCUAGAGAGGAGUCAAAACACAAUAACCACAAGAAAUCAAUCACAGAGAUGACACGGUGGUUAUCCCGUGGUUCGGCCAAGUACAAAAACUUGCCUACUCCACGUUGUGGCGUCCCAACGGACGAGAGUUGCACUCAACUCCUCUCAAGUGAUCCAAUGAUCAACUUGAAUACCACGGUGUUCUUGCUUUUCUUUUCUCAAUCCCGUUUGCGAGGAAUCUCCACAACUUGGAGCCUCUCGCCCUUACAAAAGAUGUUCACAGAGAAUCACGGAGCAAGGGAGGGAUUAGCAACGCACACAAGACUUCAAAAGAUCAGAGCAACACGCACACAAGCAGCAAUAAGAGCUCGCAACACAACUCAAAGAGUACACAACUCCACAAGAGCUCUAUAUGCUAUCACAAUGAAUCGAAUGCGCUAGAUCAAUGUCUUGGUGCUUAGAAAGGUUGUCGGAAUGCUUGGUGUACUCCUCCAUGCGCCAAGGGGUCCCUUUUAUAGCCCCAAGGCAGCUAGGAGCCGUUGGGAACAAAUCUGGAAGGCCAUCUUUGCCUUCUGUCUCGUGGCGCACCGGACAGUCCGGUGCACACCGGACACUGUCCGGUGCCCGAUUUGUUUCCUUAAACAGCUCAUCCGACCGUUGCUGUCUGAGUCAGAUCUGCGCACCGUUGGCGCACCGGACAUGUCCGGUGCACACCGGACAGUCCGGUGUAUCUUUCCGACCGUUGGCUCGGCCACGUGUCGCGCGCCGAUCGCGCGGCCGACCGUUGGCCCGGCCGACCGUUGGCUCACCGGACAGUCCGGUGCACACCGGACAGUCCGGUGAAUUUUAGCCGAAGUCGCCGGAGAAAAACCCGAGAGCGGCCUCUUCGGCCGAGGCAGCCUGGCGCACCGGACACUGUCCGGUGCACCACCGGACAGUCCGGUGCCCCAGACCGAAACAGCCCCUUGGCUGCACACAGCCAAGUCUUCUCUUCUCUUCUUCUUUCUGUUUCUAACACUUAGACAAAUAUAUUAGUACACAGAACCAAUGUACUAAGACUUAGAAACAUACCUUUGCUCUAGAUUGGCACUUUGUUCAUCCAUUGGCAUUGAUUCACAUUUAAGCACUUGUGUUGACAUUCAAUCACCAAAAUACUUAGAAAUGGCCCAAGGGCACAUUUCCCUUUCAAUCUCCCCCUUUUGGGUGAUUUAUGCCAACACAACAUAAAGCAACUAGAACAAGUGCAAAAUCACUUCAAAUAAAAACUCAAAUUGGUUUUGAUUCAAUUUUGGCAUAUAUGGAUCAUCCUUUGCCACCACUUGGUUUGUUUUUGCAAAUCAAACUCAAAGCUCUAUUUCUAUGUCAAACACACAUGUUGAGGCAUGAAGAGAGUCAUUCCAAAAGAGAUUGAUCAAAGAUUUCAAAAACUCCCCCUAUUUCCCAUAAUCAACACUUCUCCCCACAAGAAGCCAACUUUUGACAAUAGAGACAAUAAGAGACAAUAAAAGCUUUUGUCAAAACAAAAAUUCUAUUCUACUAUUUUCAAAAUCUCUCAAGUGGUAGCUGAUCCAUUUAUCACUUUGGCCUUUAUUCUCUCCCCCUUUGGCAUCAAGCACCAAAACGGGAUUAAUCUUGGCCUUUUAACCCCAUUGCCUCACCAAAAUCUUCAAUUAAGAGCACAAAGGCAAUAAGAUCAUAGAGAUGAACUUGGAAUAAGUUACCCUCUCAUCGGAGUGCAGUGGAAGUCUUUCAUGGUCCAAGUCCACCUUUCCCUUUUAAUCCACUUUCGAGACUAAAUCAAGCACACUCAAGCAAAUGGUCAGUCUCAAAGGGUCAAGUUGUAACACAUCUCCCCCUAAACAUGUGCAUCACUUUGCAACGGACUUGUGAGGUCCAGGGAGUGUUUGUACAACUUGAGCACCACAAUAAGCAACAGAAUGCAGAAUGAACCUGAUCAAAGGCAUAAACACAUGUAUGCUACAAUUCAAUCCAAGUUCCGCGAAUCUAAGACAUUUAGCUCACUACGCAGCCUGCAAAAGGUCUUCUCAUCUAGAGGCUUGGUAAAGAUAUCGGCUAGCUGGUUCUCGGUGCUAACAUGAAACACUUCGAUAUCCCCCUUUUGCUGGUGGUCUCUCAAAAGUGAUGCCGGAUGUCUAUGUGCUUUGUGCGGCUGUGCUCAACAGGAUUCUCCGCCAUGCGGAUAGCACUCUCAUUGUCACAUAGGAGUGGGACUUUGCUCAGAUUGUAGCCAAAGUCCCGGAGGGUUUGCCUCAUCCAAAGUAGUUGCGCGCAACACUGACCUGCGGCAACGUACUCGGCCUCAGCGGUGGAUAGGGCAACGGAGGUUUGUUUCUUAGAGUUCCAUGACACCAGGGACCUUCCUAAGAAUUGGCACGUCCCCGAUGUACUCUUCCUAUCGACCUUACAUCCAGCAUAGUCGGAGUCUGAGUAUCCAACUAAGUCAAAGGUAGACCCCUUUGGAUACCAGAGCCCGAAGCAAGGCGUAGCAACCAAAUAUCUAAGAAUUCGCUUCACCGCCACUAAGUGACACUCCUUAGGGUCGGACUGAAAUCUAGCACACAUGCAUACGCUAAGCAUAAUAUCCGGUCUACUAGCACAUAAAUAAAGUAAAGACCCUAUCAUUGACCGGUAUGCUUUUUGAUCAACGGACUUACCUCCUUUGUUGAGGUCUGUGUGUCCGUCGGUUCCCAUCGGCGUCUUUGCGGGCUUGGCGUCCUUCAUCCCAAACCUCUUUAGCAAGUCUUGCGUGUACUUUGUUUGGGAGAUGAAAGUGUCGUCCUUGAGUUGCUUCACUUGGAACCCAAGGAAGUAGUUCAACUCGCCCAUCAUCGACAUCUCGAAUUUCUGCGUCAUCACCCUGCUAAACUCUUCACAAGACUUUUGGUUAGUAGAACCAAAUAUUAUGUCAUCGACAUAAAUUUGGCACACAAACAAAUCACCAUCACAUGUCUUUGUAAAAAGAGUUGGAUAGGCUUUCCCAACCUUGAAAGCAUUAGCAAUUAAAAAGUCUCUAAGGCAUUCAUACCAUGCUCUUGGGGCUUGCUUAAGUCCAUAGAGCGCCUUAGAGAGCUUACACACAUGGUCGGGGUACCGUUCAUCCUCGAAGCCAGGGGGUUGCUCCACGUACACCUCCUCCUUGAUUGGCCCGUUGAGGAAAGCGCUCUUCACAUCCAUUUGGUACAACCUGAAAGAAUGGUGAGCGGCAUAUGCUAGCAAGAUACGAAUUGACUCUAGCCUAGCCACAGGAGCAAACGUCUCCUCAAAGUCCAAACCUGCGACUUGGGCAUAACCUUUUGCCACAAGUCGAGCCUUGUUCCUCGUCACCACCCCGUGCUCAUCCUGUUUGUUGCGGAACACCCACUUGGUUCCCACAACAUUUUGCUUUGGACGAGGCACCAGUGUCCAAACUUCAUUGCGCUUGAAGUUGUUGAGUUCCUCCUGCAUGGCCAAUACCCAGUCCGGAUCUAGCAAGGCCUCCUCUACCCUGAAAGGCUCAAUAGAAGAGACAAAGGAGUAAUGUUCACAAAAAUUAACUAAUCGAGAUCGAGUAGUUACUCCCUUGCUAAUAUCACCCAGAAUUUGGUCGACGGGAUGAUCCCUUUGAAUCAUCGCUCGAACUUGGGUUGGAGGUGCCGGUUGCGCUUCUUCCUCCAUCACUUGAUCACCUUGUGCUCCCCCUUGAUCAAUCGCCUCCACUUGAGGUACUUGUACGUCACCUUCGGUUGGGGGAUGCACCAUAGUUGAGGAAGAAGGUUGAUCUCGUUUAUCUUGUUCCUGUGGCCGCACUUCUCCAAUCGCCAUGGUUCGUAUAGCGGCCGUUGGAACAUCUUCUUCAUCUACAUCAUCACAAUCAACAACUUGCUCUCUUGGAGAGCCAUUAGUCUCAUCAAAUACAACGUCGCUAGAGACUUCAACCAAACCCGAUGAUUUGUUGAAGACUCUAUACGCCUUUGUAUUUGAGUCAUAACCUAACAAAAACCCUUCUACAGCUUUGGGAGCAAACUUAGAAUUUCUACCCUUCUUUACUAGAAUGUAGCACUUGCUCCCAAAUACACGAAAGUAAGAUACAUUGGGUUUGUUACCGGUUAGUAGCUCAUAUGAAGUCUUUUUGAGGAGGCGAUGAAGAUAGACCCUGUUGAUGGCGUGGCAAGCCGUGUUCACGGCUUCCGACCAGAAACACUCGGGGGUCUUGAAUUCUCCAAGCAUUGUCCUCGCCAUAUCGAUUAGCGUCCUGUUCUUCCUCUCUACCACACCAUUUUGCUGUGGUGUGUAGGGAGCGGAGAACUCGUGCUUGAUCCCUUCCUCCUCAAGGAAUUCCUCCACUUGAAGGUUCUUGAACUCGGACCCGUUGUCGCUUCUUAUCUUCUUCACUUUGAGCUCAAACUCAUUUUGAGCUCUCCUGAGGAAGCGUUUGAGGGUCCCUUGGGUUUCGGACUUUUCCUGCAAAAAGAACACCCAAGUGAAGCGGGAAAAAUCAUCUACAAUAACUAGACCAUACUUACUUCCUCCUAUGCUCAGAUAGGCGACGGGUCCGAAGAGGUCCAUAUGCAGCAUCUCCAAGGGUCUUGAUGUCGUCAUCACAUUUUUGGUGUGAUGAGAGCCUCCCACCUGUUUCCCUGCUUGACAGGCUGCACAAGGUCUAUCUUUUUCGAAUUGAACAUUAGUUAGACCUAUCACGUGUUCUCCCUUUAGAAGCUUGUGAAGGUUCUUCAUCCCCACAUGUGCUAAGCGGCGAUGCCACAGCCAGCCCAUGCAAGUCUUAGCCAUUAAGCAUGCAUCUAGACCGGCCUCUUCUUUUGCAAAAUCAACUAAGUAAAGCUUGCCGUCUAAUACACCCUUAAAAGCUAGUGAACCAUCACUUCUUCUAAAGACAGACACAUCUACAUUUGUGAAUAGACAGUUAUACCCCAUAUUACAUAAUUGACUAACAGAUAGUAAAUUAUAUCCAAGUGACUCAACUAAGAACACAUUAGAUAUGGAGUGCUCAUUAGAAAUUGCAAUUUUACCUAGACCUUUUACCUUGCCUUGAUUCCCAUCACCGAAUACAAUUGAAUCUUGGGAAUCCUUAUUCUUGACGUAGGAGGUGAACAUCUUCUUCUCCCCCGUCAUAUGGUUUGUGCAUCCGCUGUCGAUAAUCCAGCUUGAACCCCCGGAUGCAUAAACCUGCAAGGCAAAUUUAGGCUUGGGUCUUAGGUACCCAACUCUUGUUGGGUCCUACAAGGUUAGCACAUAUAUCCUUAGGGACCCAAAUGCAAGUUUUAUCUCCCUUGCAUCUUGUCCCUAACUUCCUAGCAAUUACCUUCUUACCCUUUCUACAAAUAGCAAAGGGAGCAUUGCAAGCAUAAUAAAUGGUAGAAGGUUUGUUCACAGCUUUUCUAGGAACAUGAGCAAAAUUUCUCUUAGGCAUAUGCACAACAUUUCCCCUACACAUAUCUCUAUCAUGCUUAUAGGAAGAACUAGAAGCAAACAUGGCAUGAGAAUCAUAAACAUGUGAAUCAAAAUCAUUACAAGCAUUUCUAGCAUGUCUCCUAUCAUGGUACAUAAAGGCAUGGUUCCUUUUUGCACUACUAGCCAUAGGGGCCUUCCCUUUCUCCUUGGCGGGAAUGGGAGCCUUAUGGCUUGUUAAGUUCUUGGCUUCUCUCUUGAAGCCAAGCCCAUCCUUAAUUGAGGGAUGUCUUCCUAUUGUGUAAGCAUCCCUUGCAAAUUUUAACUUAUCAAAUUCACUUUUGCUAGUCUUAAGUUGGGCAUUAAGACUAGCCACUUCAUUAUUUAACUUUGCAAUAGAAGCUAUGUGUUCACUACAAGCAUCAAUAUCAAAGUCUUUACAUCUAUUGCAAAUAACAACAUUUUCUACACAAGUUGUUGAUUUACUAGCUAUUUCUAUCUUAGCAUUCAACUCAUCGUUAAUGCUCUUUAAUUUUGAAAUUGUCUCAUGGCAUGAAGAUAAUUCACAAGUAAGCAUUUCAUUUCUUUUAACUUCUAGAGCAUGAGAUUUUUGAGCUUCUAAAAAUUUAUCAUGCUCUUCAUACAAUAAAUCCUCUUGUUUCUCUAAGAGUUUAUCCUUCUCAUUCAAUACAUCAAUUAAUUUAUUAAUUUUGCCAAUCGUAAUUCUAUCUAGACCUUUAAAUAAACUAGAAUAGUCUAUUUUAUCAUCGUCACUAGAAUCAUCAUCACUAGAAGAAGCAUAAGUAGAGUUUCGAGUACUUACUUUCUUCUCCUUAGCCAUGAGACACGUGUGACGCUCGUUGGGGAAGAGGGCCGAUUUGUUGAAGGCGGUGGCGGCGAGUCCCUCAUUGUCGGAGUCGGAGGAGGAGCAAUCCGAAUCCCACUCCUUGCCUAUAUGCGCCUCGCCCUUGGCUUUCUUGUAGUGCUUCUUCUUCUCCCUUUUGUUCCCCUUUUCCUGGUCACUUUCAUUAUCAGGACAGUUAGCAAUAAAAUGACCAAGCUUACCGCAUUUGAAGCAUGAUCGCUUCCCCUUGGUCUUAGUCUUGCUCGGCUGUCCAUUGCGACCCUUUAGCACCGUCUUGAAUCUCUUGAUAAUGAGGGCCAUUUCUUCAUCAUUAAGACCGGCCGCCUCAAUUUGCGCCACCUUGCUGGGUAGCGCCUCCUUGUUCCUUGUGGCUUUGAGAGCAAAAGGUUGCGGCUCGUUGAUCGGUCCAUUCAAGGCGUCGUCCACAUACCUUGCCUCCUUGAUCAUCAUUCGCCCGCUGACGAAUUUUCCUAGGACUUCUUCGGGCGACAUUUUGGUGUACCUGGGAUUCUCACGAAUAUUAUUCACCAAAUGAGGAUCAAGAACGGUAAAGGACCUGAGCAUUAGUCAGACGACGUCGUGGUCCGUCCAUCGCGUGCUUCCGUAGCUCCUUAUUUUGUUGAUAAGGGUCUUGAGCCGGUUGUAUGUCUGAGUUGGCUCCUCGCCCCUUAUCAUCGCGAACCGUCCAAGCUCGCCUUCCACCAACUCCGUUUUGGUGAGCAAGGUAACGUCAUUCCCUUCAUGAGAGAUCUUGAGGGUGUCCCAGAUCUGCUUGGCGUUAUCCAAGCCGCUCACUUUGUUAUAUUCAUCCCUGCACAAUGAAGCUAGAAGAACAGUGGUUGCUUGUGCAUUCUUAUGGAUUUGCUCAUUAAUGAAUGAAGGGCUAUCCGAGCUAUCAAAUUUCAUUCCACUUUCCACAAUCUCCCAAAUGCUUGGAUGGAGAGAAAAUAGGUGAGUACGCAUUUUGUGACUCCAAAAUCCGUAGUCCUCUCCAUCAAAGUGAGGAGGCUUGCCAAGUGGAAUGGGGAGCAAAUGAGCAUUUGAGCUAUAUGGAAUGCGCGAAUAAUCAAAAGAAAAGUUUGAGUUAACCGUCUUUUGUUUGUCGUGGUCGUCGUCCUUUUGGGAAGAAGAGGACUCAUCGCUGUCGUAGUAGACGAUCUCCUUGAUGCGUCUUGUCUUCUUCUUCUUCCCAUCUUUUCGCUUGUGGCCCGAGCCCGAGUCAUUGGACUUGUCAUCCCUUGGCUCGUUGACGAAGGAUUCCUUCUCCUUGUCGUUGAUCACAAUUCCCUUCCCCUUAGGAUCCAUCUCUUCGGGCGGUUAGUCCCUUUCUUGAAGAGAACGGCUCUGAUACCAAUUGAGAGCACCUAGAGGGGGGUGAAUAGGUGAUCCUGUAAAACUUCAAAACUUAAGCCACAAAAACUUGUUAAGUGUUAGCACAAGUAUGGCCAAGUGGCUAGAGAGGAGUCAAAACACAAUAACCACAAGAAAUCAAUCACAGAGAUGACACGGUGGUUAUCCCGUGGUUUGGCCAAGUACAAAAACUUGCCUACUCCACGUUGUGGCGUCCCAACGGACGAGAGUUGCACUCAACUCCUCUCAAGUGAUCCAAUGAUCAACUUGAAUACCACGGUGUUCUUGCUUUUCUUUUCUCAAUCCCGUUUGCGAGGAAUCUCCACAACUUGGAGCCUCUCGCCCUUACAAAAGAUGUUCACAGAGAAUCACGGAGCAAGGGAGGGAUUAGCAACGCACACAAGACUUCAAAAGAUCAGAGCAACACGCACACAAGCAGCAAUAAGAGCUCGCAACACAACUCAAAGAGUACACAACUCCACAAGAGCUCUAUAUGCUAUCACAAUGAAUCGAAUGCGCUAGAUCAAUGUCUUGGUGCUUAGAAAGGUUGUCGGAAUGCUUGGUGUACUCCUCCAUGCGCCAAGGGGUCCCUUUUAUAGCCCCAAGGCAGCUAGGAGCCGUUGGGAACAAAUCUGGAAGGCCAUCUUUGCCUUCUGUCUCGUGGCGCACCGGACAGUCCGGUGCACACCGGACACUGUCCGGUGCCCGAUUUGUUUCCUUAAACAGCUCAUCCGACCGUUGCUGUCUGAGUCAGAUCUGCGCACCGUUGGCGCACCGGACAUGUCCGGUGCACACCGGACAGUCCGGUGUAUCUUUCCGACCGUUGGCUCGGCCACGUGUCGCGCGCCGAUCGCGCGGCCGACCGUUGGCCCGGCCGACCGUUGGCUCACCGGACAGUCCGGUGCACACCGGACAGUCCGGUGAAUUUUAGCCGAAGUCGCCGGAGAAAAACCCGAGAGCGGCCUCUUCGGCCGAGGCAGCCUGGCGCACCGGACACUGUCCGGUGCACCACCGGACAGUCCGGUGCCCCAGACCGAAACAGCCCCUUGGCUGCACACAGCCAAGUCUUCUCUUCUCUUCUUCUUUCUGUUUCUAACACUUAGACAAAUAUAUUAGUACACAGAACCAAUGUACUAAGACUUAGAAACAUACCUUUGCUCUAGAUUGGCACUUUGUUCAUCCAUUGGCAUUGAUUCACAUUUAAGCACUUGUGUUGACAUUCAAUCACCAAAAUACUUAGAAAUGGCCCAAGGGCACAUUUCCCUUUCAACUGUCCGGUGGCGCACCGGACUGUCCGGUGCGCCACCCGACAGAAGGCAAGAUUAGCCUUCCAAAGUUGCCUCCAACGGCUCCUAGCUGCCUUGGGGCUAUAAAAGGGACCCCUAGGCGCAUGGAGGAGUUAUCCAAGCAUUCUUUGAUCAUUCCUAAGCAUCUAGACUCCACUCCUACGCAUUUGAUUCUCUAUGCUAGCAAUUUGAGCUCCUCUUGAGUUGAGAACUCCAUGUGUUGAACUUAGAGCUCAAGUUGUGACUUGUGUGCGUGAUUGUGCUCUCGUUUUGAGUCUUGUGUGCGUUUCUCUCCCCUCCCUUACUUCCGUGCUUCUUUGUGAUCAUCAAUUGUAAGGGCGAGAGGCUCCAAGUUGUGGAGAUUCCUCGCAAACAGGAGAAAGUAUAAGAAAGAAGAACACCGUGGUAUUCAAGUUGAUCAUUGGAUCACUUGAAAGGGGUUGAGUGCAACCCUCGUCCAUUGGGACGCCACAACAUGGAAGUAGGCAAGUAUUACUUGGCCGAACCACGGGAUAACUCGCGUGUCUCUUGUGAUUGCUUUUCUGUGUGAUUAUUGUGAUUCGCAAGAGCUUGCUCUAUAGCCACUUGGUUUUAUCAUUCUAACACUUAACCAAGUUUUGUGGCUAUUAGUUGUUGAAUUUUACAGGAUCACCUAUUCACCCCCCCUCUAGGUGCUCUCAAUUGGUAUCAGAGCCGUUCUCUUCACAAAAGGGACUAAUCGCCCGAAGAGAUGGAUUCUAAGGGAAAGGGGAUGGUGGUCAAUGAUAAGGAGAAGGAGUCCAUCUUCAACGAGCCGAGGGACGACAAACCCACUGACUCUGGCUCGAGUCAUAAGAAGAAGGACGAGAAGAAGAAGAGGCGCAUCAAGAAGAUCGUCUACUACGACAGCGACGAGUCUUCUUCUUCCCCGAGAGACGACGACUACGACGAGAAAAAGAAACCGGUUAACUCAAAUUUUUCAUUUGAUUAUUCUUGUAUUCCGUAUAAUUCCAAUGCCCAUUUGCUUUCAAUUCCUCUUGGUAAACCUCCACACUUUGAUGGAGAGGACUACGCUUUUUGGAGUCAUAAAAUGCGUAGUCACCUCUUCUCUCUCCAUCCUAGUAUUUGGGAGAUAGUUGAGAAUGGAAUGCAAUUUGAUAGUACGGAUAACCAUGUCUUCAUUAACGAACAAAUUCAUAAGAAUGCACAAGCUACCACUAUUUUGUUAGCAUCGUUGUGCAGGGAUGAAUAUAAAAAGGUGAGAGGCUUGGACAACGCCAAGCAAAUAUGGGACACCCUCAAGAUAUUGCAUGAGGGGAAUGACGCCACCAUGAUCACCAAAAUGGAGUUGGUGGAAGGCGAGCUGGGAAGGUUCGCGAUGAUCAGGGGGGAGGAGCCAACACAAACUUACAACAGGCUCAAGACCCUGGUCAACAAGAUCAGGAGUUAUGGAAGCACGAGAUGGAUGGACCACGACGUCGUCCGACUUAUGCUCAGGUCUUUCACUGUUAUUGACCCUCACCUUGUGAAUCUCAUACGUGAAAAUCCCAGGUACACAAAGAUGACGCCCGAGGAGAUACUCAGAAAGUUUGUUAGUGGGCGUAUGAUGGUCAAGGAAGCAAGAUAUGUUGAUGAUGCAUUGAACGGCCCAAUGCCCAUCUAUGAGCCCCAGCCCAUUGCACUCAAGGCAACAAGCAGCAGCAGGGAGACGCUACCUAGCAAGGUGGCACAAGUUGAAGCUGCCGGGCUAAACGAAGAUGAGAUGGCCCUCAUCAUCAAGCGCUUCAAGACGGCGCUAAAAGGACGCAAGGAGCAUCCCAACAAGAGCAAAGCAAAGGGAAAGCGCUCCUGUUUUAAAUGUGGUAAGACUGGUCAUUUCAUAGCAAAUUGUCCCGAUAAUGCUAAUGAUCAGGAACAAGAAAAGAGCGGGAAGAGGGAGAAGAAGAAGGCCUACAAGAAAGCGAAGGGCGAGGCGCACCUUGGCAAAGAGUGGGAUUCGGAUUGCUCUUCAUCCGACUCCGACGAUGAAGGACUCACCGCCUCUGCCUUCAACAAGUCAUCUCUCUUCCCCAACGAGCGCCAUACUUGCCUCAUAGCAAAGGAGAAAAAGGAUAGCGCUCGAGAUACCCCUAAGUAUACUACUUCAAGUGAUGAUGACUCUAGUGAUGAUGAAGUAGAUUACUCAAGCUUGUUCAAAGGUUUAGAUAGAACUAAAAUAGAUAAAAUCAAUGAAUUGAUUGAUGCUUUAAAUGAAAAGAAUAGAUUGUUAGAGAAACAAGAAGAUAUUUUAUAUGAAGAGCAUGACAAGUUUAUUAGUGUGCAAAAAUCUCUUGCUUUAGAGGUUAAAAGGAAUGAAAUGCUUUCUUCUGAAUUAUCUGCUUGUCAUGAAACUGUGUCUAGCUUAAAGAGUAUUAAUGAUGAUUUAAAUGCUAAGCUAGAAGUAGUUAAUAAAUCUAGUUCUUGUGUAGAGCAUGUUGUCAUUUGUAAUAGGUGUAAGGAUUUGAUGUUGAUGCAUGUGUUGAGCACCUUACUUCUAUUACAAAAUUAAAUGGUGAAGUGGCUAGUCUUAAUGCCUAACUUAAGACUUGCAAAAAUGAUUUUGAUAAGUUAAAAUUUGCUAGGGAUGCCUACACCGUUGGUAGACAUCCCUCAAUUAAGGACGGACUUGGCUUUCGAAAGGAAGCCAAGAACUUAACAAGUCAAAGGGCUCCCAUUUCCAACAAGGAGAAAGGGAAGGCCCCUAUGGCUAGUAUUAGUCAAAAGAAUCAUGCUUUCAUGUACCAUGAUAGAAAAUUUUCUAGAAAUUCUCACUAUAAUAGGAGUUAUAAUGCUUUUGACUCACAUGCCAUGAUUGCUUCAUGUUCUAAUUUCAAUGGUAGGCCUAGGAGAAAUUUUGUGUCUCGUGCUCCUAGGAAAGUGUGUAAUAAACCUACCACUGUCUUUCAUGCUUGCAACACUACAUUUGUACUCUUAGGUAAAAACGAAAAAGUGGUUGCUAGAAAGUUGGGGGUCAAAUGCAAGGGAGACAAGACUUGUAUUUGGGUCCCAAAGACUAUUGUAACUAACCUUGUAGGACCCAACAAGAGUUGGGUACCUAAAACCCAAGCCUAAUUUGCCUUGCAGGUUUAUGCAUCCGGGGCUCAAGCUGGAUUAUCGACAGCGGAUGCACAAACCACAUGACGGGGGAGAAGAAGAUGUUCACCUCCUACGUCAAGAAUAAAGAUUCCCAAGAUUCGAUCAUCUUUGGAGAUGGGAACCAAGGCAAGGUUAAAGGACUAGGAAAGAUAGCCAUUUCAUCCGAGCAUUCCAUAUCUAAUGUGUUUUUAGUUGAAUCGCUCGGGUAUAAUUUAUUAUCUGUCAGUCAACUAUGUAAUAUGGAAUAUAAUUGUUUAUUUACCAAUGUAGAUGUGUCUGUCUUUAGAAGGAGUGAUGGUUCAUUAGCUUUUAAGGGUGUACUAGACGGCAAACUCUACUUAAUUGAUUUUUCGAAAGAGGAGGCCGAUCUAGAUGCAUGCUUAAUUGCUAAGACUAGCAUGGGCUGGCUGUGGCAUCGCCGUCUAGCACAUGUUGGGAUGAAGAACCUUCAUAAACUUCUAAAGGGAGAACAUGUGUUAGGUCUAACCAAUGUAUUUUUCGAAAAAGAUAGACCUUGUGCAGCUUGUCAAGUAGGUAAACAAGUGGGAAGCGCUCAUCACAGCAAGAAUGUGAUAACCACAUCAAGACCUCUGGAGCUACUUCAUAUGGAUCUCUUCGGACCCGUUGCCUACCUUAGCAUCGAGGGAAGUAAGUAUGGUCUUGUUAUUGUUGAUGAUUUUUCCCGCUUCACUUGGGUAUUCUUUUUGCAGGUUAAAUCAGAAACCCAAGGGACCCUAAAGCGCUUUCUAAGGAGAGCUCAAAACGAAUUUGAGCUCAAGGUGAAAAAGAUAAGAAGCGACAAUGGGUCUGAGUUCAAGAACUUACAAGUGGAGGAGUACCUUGAGGAGGAAGGAAUCAAGCACGAGUUCUCUGCUCCCUACACACCACAGCAAAACGGUGUGGUAGAGAGGAAGAACAGGACACUUAUAGACAUGGUGAGGACGAUGCUUGGAGAAUUUAAGACGCCCGAGCGUUUUUGGUCGGAAGCUGUGAAUACAGCUUGCCACGCCAUAAAUCGGGUCUACCUUCAUCACCUCCUCAAGAAGACCUCGUAUGAACUUCUAACCGGUAACAAACCCAAUGUUUCAUACUUUCGUGUAUUUGGGAGUAAAUGUUAUAUUCUAGUAAAGAAAGGUAGAAGUUCCAAAUUUGCUCCCAAAGCUGUAGAAGGGUUUUUUGUUAGGUUAUGACUCAAAUACAAAGGCGUAUAGAGUCUUCAACAAAUCAUCGGGUUUGGUUGAAGUCUCUAGCGACGUUGUAUUUGAUGAAACUAAUGGCUCUCCAAGAGAGCAAGUUGAUCUUGAUGAUGUAGAUGAAGAUGAUGUUCCAACGGACGUAAUUCGCACCAUGGCAAUUGGAGAUGUGCGACCACAAGAACACCAAGAGCAAGAUCAACCUUCUUCCUCAACGAUGGUGCAUCCCCCAACUCAAGAUGAUGAACAGGUUCCUCAAGAAGAGGCGUGUGAUCAAGGGGGAGCACAAGAAGACCAUGUUGUGGAGGAAGAAGCACCACGGGGCCCUCCAACUCAAGUCCGAGUGACGAUUCAAAGGAAUCAUCCCGUCGACCAGAUUUUGGGUGAUAUAAGCAAGGGAGUAACCACUCGCUCAAGAUUAGCUAACUUUUCUGAGCAUUACUCGUUUGUCUCUUCUAUUGAGCCUUUCAGGGUAGAAGAGGCCUUGCUAGAUCCGGAUUGGGUGUUGGCCAUGUAGGAAGAGCUCAACAACUUCAAGCGAAAUGAAGUUUGGACCCUAGUGCCACAUCCCAAGCAAAACGUUGUGGGAACCAAGUGGGUGUUCCGCAACAAGCAAGACGAGCACGGGGUGGUGACACGAAACAAGGCUUGACUUGUGGCAAAAGGUUAUGCCCAAGUCGCAGGUUUGGAUUUCGAGGAGACUUUUGCUCCUGUGGCUAGGCUAGAGUCUAUUCGCAUUCUAUUAGCCUAUGCUGCUCACCCCUCUUUUAGGUUGUUCCAAAUGGAUGUGAAGAGCGCUUUCCUCAACGGGCCAAUCAAGGAGGAGGUGUACGUGGAGCAACCCCCUGGCUUUGAGGAUGAACGGUACCCCGACCAUGUGUGUAAGCUCUUUAAGGUGCUCUAUGGACAUAAGCAAGCCCCAAGAGCAUGGUAUGAAUGCCUUAGAGAUUUCCUAAUUGCUAAUGCUUUCAAGGUUGGGAAAGCCGAUUCAACUCUUUUCACUAAGACUUGUGAUGGUGACCUAUUUGUGUGCCAAAUUUAUGUCGAUGACAUAAUAUUUGGUUCUACUAACCAAAAGUCUUGUGAGGAGUUUAGCAGGGUGAUGACACAGAAAUUUGAGAUGUCGAUGAUGGGCGAGUUGAACUACUUCCUUGGGUUCCAAGUGAAGCAACUCAAGGAUGGCACCUUCAUCUCCCAAAUGAAGUACUCGCAAGACUUGCUCAAGCGGUUCGGGAUGAAGGACACCAAGCCCGCAAAGACACCAAUGGGAACCGACGGACAUGUCGACCUCAACAAAGGAGGUAAGUCCGUUGAUCAAAAGGCAUACCGGUCUAUGAUAGGUUCUUUGCUUUAUUUAUGUGCUAGUAGACUGGAUAUUAUGCUUAGCGUUUGCAUGUGUGCUAGAUAUCAAUCCGACCCAAGGGAAUGUCACCUUAGGGCCGUUAAGAGGAUUCUUAGAUAUUUAGUUGCUACGCCUUGCUUCGGGAUCUGGUAUCCAAAGGGGUCUACCUUUGACUUGAUUGGAUAUUCAGACUCCGAUUAUGCCGGGUGCAAGGUUGAUAGGAAGAGUACAUCAGGGACGUGCCAAUUACUAGGAAGGUCCCUGGUGUCUUGGAGCUCAAAGAAACAAACUUCUGUUGCCCUAUCCACCGCUGAGGCCGAGUAUGUUGCCGCAGGACAGUGUUGCGCGCAACUACUUUAGAUGAGGCAAACCCUCCGGGACUUUGGCUACAAUCUGAUCAAAGUCCCACUCCUAUGUGAUAAUGAGAGUGCAAUCCGCAUGGUGGAUAAUCCUGUUGAACACAGCCGCACUAAGCACAUAGACAUCUGGCAUCACUUCCUGAGAGACCACCAACAAAAGGGGAUAUCGAGGUGUACCAUAUUAACACCGAGAACCAGCUAGUCGAUAUCUUCACCAAGCCUUUAGAUGAGAAAAGGUUUUGCAGGUUGCGUAGUGAGCUAAAUGUCUUAGAUUCACGUAACUUGGAUUGAUCUAUAGCAUACAUGUGGUUUAUGCCUUUGAUCAUGUAAUUUAUGCAUUUCAAUCUAUUCUUGUUCAUUUGUGGUGCUCAAGUUGUAAACAUGAUCCCCGGACCUCACAAGUCCAUUUGCAAGUGAUGCACUUAUUUAGGGGAAGGCAUGCUACAACUUGACACUUUGAGACUAACCUUUGUGUUUGAGUUCUUGAUUUAGUCUCAAAACUGGAUUGAAAGGGAAAGGUGAACUUGGACCAUGCAAAGACUUCCACUGCACUCCGGUAUUAACUCCAAGUUCAUAUCUAUGCUCUUAUUGCCUUUUUGCUUGUAAUUGACAAUUUUGGUGAGGCAAUGGGGUUAAAGGGCCAAGAAUGAUCCCGUUUUGGUGCUUAAUGCCAAAGGGGGAGAAAUUAAGGCCAAAGCAAAUGGAUCAGCUACCACUUGUGAAAUUUCGAAAAGAGUAGAGUAAGAACUUUUUGAUUUGUCAAAAUACUCUUAUUGUCUCUUAUUGUCAAAAGUUGGUCUCUUGUGGGGAGAAUGUUUGAUUAUGGGAAAAGGGGGAGUUUUGGAUCUUUGAUCAAUUUCACUCUUGGAAUAUCUCUCUUUAUGCCUAAACAAGUGUGUUUGACUUAGAGAUAGGAAAUUGACUUUGAUUUGCAAUUCUUGUUCUCAAUUGCAUUAAAGUUGCACUUCUUCUAGUUGCUUUUUGAUGUGUUUGCAUAAACCACCAAAAAGGGGGAGAUUGAAAGGGAAAUGUGUCCUUGGGCCAUUUCUAAAGUGUUUUGGUGAUUAAGUGCCCAACACAUUUUCUCUUUGUGCUAAUUCGUGCCAAAGAGUGAAGAAAUGCAAAUCAUAUUACAAGGUAUGUUUCUAUACUUAGUACAUUGAUUUGAGUACUAAUGUAUUGUGUCUAAGUGCUAGAAACGGGAGAAAUUGGUUUGGAAAAGAGUUGGCUGUGUACAGCCAACUGCAGCUCGGUCUGGGUGCACUGGACUGUCCGGUGGUGCACCGGACAGUGUCCGGUGCGCCAGACCAGUCUCGGUGAACAGGCCACUCUCAGGACUCGACGACGGCGUAUGGCUAUAAUUCAUCGGACUGUCCGGUGAGUCGUCUGCGGCGAAGUUGUCGCUCUCGGGAAAUGUUCAACGGCGUACGGCUAAAAUUCACCGGACUAUCCGGUGGUGCACCGGACUGUCCGGUGAGCCAACGGUCGACUGCUCAAACGGUCGGCCGCGCAAUCCGCGCGCGACGCGUGGGCGCGCCAACGGUCGGUAGGGGGCACCGGACAGUGUCUGGUGUGCCAACUGCCGCAAAUCUGCAAUGGUCGGAUGCGCCAGAAAAGGAAGGAGAUCGCGCAUCGGACAACUACAGGGAUUGUCCGGUGGCGCACCGGACUGUCCGGUGCGCCACCCGAUAGAAGGCAAGAUUAGCCUUCCAAAGUUGCCUCCAACGGCUCCUAGCUGCCUUGGGGCUAUAAAAGGGACCCCUAGGCGCAUGGAGGAGUUAUUUAAGCAUUCUUUGAUCAUUCCUAAGCAUCCAGACUCCACUCCCAUGCAUUUGAUUCUCUGUGCUAGCAAUUUGAGCUCCUCUUGAGUUGAGAACUUCGUGUGUUGAACUUAGAGCUCAAGUUGUGACUUGUGUGUGUGAUUGUGCUCUCGUUUUGAGUCUUGUGUGCGUUGCUCUCCCCUCCCUUACUUCCGUGCUUCUUUGUGAUCAUCAAUUGUAAGGGCGAGAGGCUCCAAGUUGUGGAGAUUCCUCGCAAACGGGAGAAAGUAUAAGAAAGAAGAACACCGUGGUAUUCAAGUUGAUCAUUGGAUCACUUGAAAGGGGUUGAGUGCAACCCUCGUCCAUUGGGACGCCACAACGUGGAAGUAGGCAAGUAUUACUUGGCCGAACCACGGGAUAACUCGCGUGUCUCUUGUGAUUGCUUUUCUGUGUGAUUAUUGUGAUUUGCAAGAGCUCACUCUAUAGCCACUUGGUUUUAUCAUUCUAACACUUAACCAAAUUUUGUGGCUAUUAGUUGUUGAAUUUUACAGGAUCACCUAUUCACCCCCCUCUAGGUGCUCUCAAGUGUCAUGCCUACAUCUAUGAUAGAAAAUAUUCUACGAAUGCUCAUAGGAGUUAUGAUCAUGAUGCUUUUGAUUCACAUGCUAUGUUUGCCUCUAGCUCUACUUUUGUGCAUGGUAGAAGUAGGCCUAGGAGAAAUCAUGUUGUGCAUCAUGUGCCUAGGAGAGUAUGUAAUGAACCUUCUACCAUUUACCUUGCUUGCAAUACUUCAUUUGUGCACUUAUGUAAGAAUGAAAAAGUAGUUGCUAGAAAGUUGGGAUCCAAAUGCAAGGGAGACAAGACUUGUAUUUGGUUCCAAAGGAUAUUGUGACUAACCUUGUAGGACCCAACAAGAGUUGGGUACCUAAAACCCAAGUGUAAAUUGCCUUGCAGGUUUAUGCAUCCGGGGGCUCAAGCUGGAUUAUCGACAACGGAUGCACAAACCACAUGAUGGGGGAGAAGAAGAUGUUCACCUCCUACGUCAAGAAAAAGGAUUCCUAGGAUUCGAUCAUCUUUGGAGAUGGGAACCAAGGCAAGGUUAAAGGAUUGGGAAAGAUAGCCAUUUCAUCUGAGCAUUCUAUAUCCAAUGUGUUCUUAGUUGAAUCGCUCGGGUACAACUUAUUGUCUGUGAGUCAAUUAUGUAACAUGGGUUAUAAUUGUCUAUUUACCAAUAUAGAUGUAUCUGUCUUUAGAAGGAGUGAUGGUUCAUUAGCGUUUAAGGGUGUACUAGAUUGCAAAUUCUACUUAGUUGAUUUUUCGAAAGAGGAGGCCGAUCUAGAUGCAUGCUUAAUAGCUAAGACUAGCAUAGGCUGGUUGUGGCAUCGCCGUCUAGCACAUGUUGGGAUGAAGAACCUUCAUAAACUUCUAAAGGGAGAACAUGUGUUAGGACUAACCAAUGUCUGCUUCGAGAAAGAUAGACCUUGUGCAGCUUGUCAGGCAGGGAAAUAGGUGGGAAGCACUUAUCACAACAAGAAUGUGAUGACAACAUCAAGACCACUAGAGCUUCUUCACAUGGACCUCUUCGGACCCGUUGCCUACCUUAGCAUCAGGGGAAGUAAGUAUGGUCUAGUAAUUGUUGAUGAUUUUUCCCGCUUCACUUGGGUGUUCUUUUUGCAGGAUAAAUCAGAAACCCAAGGGACCCUAAAGCGCUUUCUAAGGAGGGCUCAAAACGAAUUUGAGCUCAAGGUGAAAAAGAUAAGAAGCGACAACGGGUCCAAGUUCAAGAAUCUGCAAGUGGAGGAGUAUCUUGAGGAGGAAGGCAUCACGCACGAGUUCUCCGCUCCCUACACACCACAGCAAAAUGGUGUGGUAGAGAGGAAGAACAGGACACUUAUCGACAUGGCGAGGACGAUGCUUGGAGAGUUCAAGACACCCGAGAGGUUUUGGUCGGAAGCUGUGAACACAGCUUGCCACACCAUAAACUGGCUAUAUCUGCAUCGCCUUCUCAAGAAGACCUCGUAUGAACUCCUUACCGGUAACAAACCCAACGUUUCUUACUUUCGUGUAUUUGGGAGCAAAUGCUACAUUUUGGUGAAGAAAGGUAGACAUUCUAAAUUUGCUCCCAAAGCUGUAGAAGGGUUUUUACUAGGGUAUGACUCAAAUACAAAGGCGUAUAGGGUCUUCAACAAAUCAUCGGGUUUGGUUGAAGUCUCUAGCGACGUUGUAUUUGAUGAGACUAAUGGCUCACCAAGAGAGCAAGUUGAUCUUGAUGACAUAGAUGAAGAUGAUGUUCCAACGGCCGCAAUGCGCAUGAUGGCGAUUGGAGAUGUAUGACCACAGGAACAACAGGAGCAAGAUCAGCCUUCUUCCUCAAUAAUGGUGCAUCCCCCAACUCAAGAUGAUGGACAGGUUCCUCAAGAAGAAGCACGUGAUCAAGGGGGAGCACAAGAAGAACAAGUUAUGGAAGAAGAAGCACCACUGGCCCCUCCAACUCAAGUCCGAGCCACGAUCCAAAGAAAUCACCCCGUCGAACAGAUUCUAGGUGACAUAAGCAAGGGAGUAACAACUCGCUCACGUUUAGCUAAUUUUUGUGAGCAUUACUCGUUUGUCUCUUCUAUUGAGCCUUUCAGGGUAGAAGAGGCCUUGCAGGAUCCGGAGUGGGUGCUGGACAUGCAGGAAGAGCUCAACAACUUCAAGAGGAAUGAAGUUUGCAGCCUGGUGCCAUGUCCCAAGCAAAAUGUUGUGGGAACCAAGUGGGUGUUCCGCAACAAGCAAGACGAGCACGGGGUGGUGACAUGAAACAAGGCUCGACUUGUGGCAAAAGGUUAUGCCCAAGUCACAGGUUUGGAUUUUGAGGAUACUUUUGCUCCUGUGGCUAGGCUAGAGUCUAUUCGAAUAUUAUUAGCCUAUGCCGCUCACCACUCUUUCAGGUUGUUUCAUGAAAAUGUGAAGAGCGCUUUCCUCAACGGGCCAAUCAAGGAGGAGGUGUAUGUGGAACAACCCCUUGUCUUUGAGGAUGACAGGUAUCCCGACCAUGUAUUUAAGCUCUCUAAGGCGCUCUAUGGACUUAAGCAAGCCCCAAGAGCAUGGUAUGAAUGCCAUAGAGACUUCUUAAUUGCUAAUGCUUUCAAGGUUGGGAAAGCCGAUCCCACUCUUUUCACUAAGUCUUGUGAGGAGUUUAGCAGGGUGAUGACUCAAAAGUUUGAGAUGUCGAUGAUGGGCGAGUUGAACUACUUCCUUGAGAUGUCAAAAGUACACUCAAGAUGUUCUCAAAAGGUUUGGGAUGAAGGACGCCAAGCCCGUGAAGACACCGAUGGGAAGCGACGGGCAUGUCGACCUCAACAAAGGAGGUAAGUCCGUUGAUCAAAAGGCAUACCGGUCUGAAAGGGAAAUAGGGUCAAACCUUUUCCAAUAUGAAUUUUGGUGGUUGAAUUGCCCAACACAAAUUAUUGGACUAACUAGUUUGCUCUAGAGUGUAUGUUCUACAGGUGCCAAAGGUUCAACUCAAAACCAAUACAAAGAUCAAAAAGGGUUCAAAAAGAAAGAAGCAAAGGAAACUGAAGCGCUCCCUGGUCUGGCGCACCGAACUGUCCGGUGUGCCACCGGACAGUGUCCGGUGCACCAGGGAGGAUCGACUUCAAACUCUUCACCUUCAGGUUUCCCAGGCGCACCUCCGCUAUAAUUCACCGGACUGUCCGGUGUGCCACCGGACUGUCCGGUGAGCCAGCGGAGCAACGGUCGACUCUACAAAGCAAACAGUGCAAAUCAGAUGUCAGAGCAGACGGUUAGAGGGGCACUGGACUGUCCGGUGUCGCACCGGACUGUCCGGUGCCACAUGAGGACAAAGCCUCCAAUGGUCGACCAGCUCCAACCCUAACGAAGAGGAUGACGUGGCGGCGCACCGGACACUGUCUAAUGGCGCACCAGACACUGUCCGGUGCGCCCAUCGCCAGCAGCCUUCUCCAACGGCUACAUUUUGGUUGGUGGCUAUAAAUACCACCCCAACCGGCCACUUCAAAGUGGGGGAGCCCAAGCAACAUUCCAAGUCAUCCAGUUGACAUACUCAAGCCCUCCCAACCACACAUAUUCAUUGAUCCAUCCUAUACACAAGAUCUAGACCACUACAACCAACACAAGUGCCACAAAGGAGAGAGCAAGCAAAAGAAAGCCUCUCGUGUGAGUUUAGCUCUAGUGCCUUGUGAGAUUCUUUGAGAGAAAGUGUGUGCUACAUCUUGCGUUCAUUUGCGCGUGGAGUUUUGACUCCCAUUGAACUUCCUCCAAAGUUUUGGAGGCUUGUAAAGCUAGCAAGAGACACCAAAGUGUGUGGUGGUCCUUGUGGGGUCUUAAGUGAUCCUUGAGAAGAAGAAGAGCUCGCCGGUCUUGCGUGAUCGGUGGAGAGAGGGAAAGGGUUGAAAGAGACCCGUCCUUAGUGGACUCCUCAACGGGGACUAGGCCUUCGAGGGCCGAACCUCGGUAAAACAAAUCACCUGUGUCUCGUGUGCUUAUUGCUUGUGAUUUGUUUGUUCUUUCCCUUUCCAAGUUCUUCUUGCACUAUUCGUUGCUAAUACUAUUUGGUGGUUCUUCAAGUAGCAUUCUCAUUUGGUGGAGCAACAUUUUGCAAGAAAGAACUUCUGUUAUUGCUUUUCUUAUCUAAGCCCUCUUGCUUUAUUCUCAUAGACUUAUUAGUAGUAUUGAUUUAUCAAUUUCGCAUUAUUUAGUCAUACUCUUUACAAGCAAAGGACUAAGUUCUCAUACUCCGAUAAUUGUGUAUCUUGUUCUAACCACUAAUCAAAGGAUCUAGUUGGGGGAUAAAUUUUUAAUUUUCAGGUUUCGCCUAUCCACCCCCCCUCUAGGCGACUUUUAAUUGGUAUCAAAGCUAGGCACUUCAUCUUGAGUCUAACAACUCGAAGUGAUGGCACAUAGAAGAUCCCAAAAGAACAAGAAGACCCAAGAGAACAAGGAGGUAACUCUUGAGAUAUUACUUUCCGAUUGUUCUAAUUAUGAUUCAUGGUCUACUAGGGUGAUAAAUGCUUUUAGAACCAUAGAUCCACAAUUAGAACAAAUUUUAGACAAGAGUAUUAUUCCUCCUAGUUAUGAUAGAAAAAAUGCCUCCGAGGAAGAUCAAAGAUGUAUUCGCUUAAACUACCUAGCUUAUGACAUCUUAAGUAGUUCUCUUAGCAAAGAAGAUUAUCAUGCCUUCAUAAUGAAUUAUGAUGAAUCUAUUCGUGAUGCGCAUGAUAUUUGGACUAGAAUUAAAAGCAAAUUUGAUGAGUCCAAACAUGAUAGUUCAUUUUUUGCCUCUACUUCCUUUGGUAUUUGUGAAACUAACCCUUUGAAGGAAGAAGAAGAAAAUGAACGAUGGAGACCAAACGAUGAAUCCACCUCUCCAAAAUGUUUGUCUUCCCAUUUCGAUUCCCACAUAUGUCGUGUGGCUAAUGAAAAUGAUAGCAGAAGCACAAAUGAGGAUGAGGUGGAAGAAAGAAGCUUCAUGCAACUCUAUGCUCACCUAAGCCAAGAAGAUAAGGCGGUCAUGCUCAAACUUCUAGAAAGAGCGAGAGAGCAAAGCAAAGCUCGUCAAAGGCUAGAAAGUGUUCUCUCCAUGAAAAUGCUACACUUUGACGAGUUGACGAAAGAACAUGAGGAGCUAAAGUGCUCUCAUGUUGAUUUGGUCCAAAGGUAUGAAACUAUUUCAAUUGAGCAAGAUAACGCUUUACAUUGUAUCGCUCAAUUAGUAAAUAGGAAUGCCUUGCUUAAGGAUCAAGUGGAAAAGCUUAAAGAUGAAAAUCUAGCUUUUCAAGAAAAAUAUGAUAUGCUCCUAUGUUCUCAUGAAAAUCUUAUGGAUGAUCAUAUCAUAUUAAAUAUUGCUCAUGAGGUUGUGAUAGAAAACUUAAAAUCCCAACAACCUCACUCUUGCACAUAUAUUCAAAUUGAAACUACAUUACCAUGUGCUAAUGCUCAUUGUCCAUCGACAAGCAAAUCUUCUUUUGAGCUAGAAUGUGCAGGAACAAACGAUGAUACAUAUCAAAAGCUCAAAGAAGAAAAUGAGAGGCUAAAAAUGAGCUUGACACAACUAAAAGGGAAGUGCAUUGCUCAACCUUCUCAAGAUAACCGUGAUCACAUGGUGAAGAAGCUUGAGACGGGAACAACCGUGGCAUGCACUAAAUCCCUUGAAGAAAAUGUCAAGGACUUAAGGAUUGUCAAGAGGAAGGAACAAAAGAAGAAAAUCAAUACCUCUUCCAAAAGCCUCAACCACGCCUCCAUAAAAGGUAACAUCCAAGGUAAUAAUCAAGUCACACUUCACACUAAGAGAAGUAAGAAGUGUAGUGAAUGCUUUGAAAAAGGGCACUCAAUUAGGUCAUGUCCCUAUAUUAAAAAUGACUUGAUUAUUAACAAGGAUGAUAAAAUUUGUUUUAAAUGCUCUAAGAAGGGACACUUUUUUAGAACUUGUCCCCAUUUAAAACAAAAAGGCAUAAUGUUAGAAAAGAAAAUAUUCACUAACCAUGUAGCAAGCAAGAAACAAGGAAGGAAGAAAUCUUCAAGGCUCAAAGAUCGCCUAUGCUACAUAUGCCAAAAGAAGGGACAUCAAUGCAAAGAUUGUCCCAUUAGUAACACUUCCACUUCUAUCUUGUCAAUUAAUUCUCUUGUAACUAGGCAACCCAAAAUUGCAACUUGUGCUAGAAAGGUAAUAAGUUUACCUAGCGCUAACACAAAGGACUUUUGGGUUCCUAGAUCUUUGUUAACUAACUGUGAUGGACCCAUCAAGCGAUGGGUACCAAAAUAUGCUUGACAAGCUUUGCAGGAGAAGGAGAUGAUAUGAAGCUUUGGGGUGCUUGAGAAAGUUAAUUCAACUUAACUCAAGCUAUCAAUCUUCAAUGAUCUAUAUAUCCACAAUUGACCCAAAGUUAUUUCAAAUUGUUAUGUAUAAAACUCAUAUCAUCUCGAGGAAAAUAUUGAUGUUGUAGGAAAUAAAGAAUUAUCUUGUGCGGAAAAAUCAAGGCCUACAACAUGAAGGAAAGCCGAAGGACGGUAACACUUGUGUUUUUUAGUGCAAGUAUCUUAAACUAUGACUUCUCAUGUGCCUUGUGUAGUCGCAUAGGAAAAGAAGCACUUCAAAUGUCUCUAAAUCUAUAUUACCAUUCUUUGAAAAAUUUCCUCUCAUAUGGUAGAUUGCAUACUCAUCAUUUCCAUCCUAUGGCAAUCUACAUGCUUUAAAUUGUUGCAAGUAUCUCAUGGCAUGCUUUUCGCUAGUCAUUCUAUUAUUGCCAUGAUUCUAGAUGUAGAGAGAUAUUCCAAGUUCUUAAAAAGAAUAAGGUGUCAUGUAAGGAAUUCAAAUCCUUAGGACACUUAUAAAAGGAAAACUCUCUCUAUAACUAGAAUAGUGAGACUAAUGCUUUUGUCUAAGUAACCUAAGUAGUCUCACUUGUAGAGAAUAAGUUUCUAUUUGGAAGUACGUAAUCUAACAUAAAAGGAAAAAUCAAUCCAAUGAAUUAUGUUGUUGUGCUUCUUGCUUAAAUUGGAUAUGAUUCUUCUACAUUCAUCACUCUCCAUGUUAUGAAUUGGAUUUAUUCCCAUAAUCUUGAAGAAUUAACUAUGCUUGUUUUAUAAGUUAAAACUAAGCAUAUAUCAUGGAAUAAUCUAGUUCAUAUUAUGAAGUUUCCUUGCUUUAGUAAUCCACUUUUCAUUCCUUGUCAAAAUGAUUACAAAAAGGGAAACUUGUGCUUGUGUUACUAACCAUGUAUCUUUUGAGCUUACCUAUGGAAAUCUAUAAAAGAAAAAGUGCAUGUCUAAAGUCACAAGCCUCUAGGGUUACUCUUCACCCUAAGGAAGAAAGGUAAAAGCAAAGGUAUGGGAACUCCUUUUCCCAUCAAUGGUUAUUUACUCCAAAUUAUCUUAUUCUACCCAUGUGAAGAAUAGAUUCUUUAUUGGACUUAAUUUUUGCUAGGUGUACAUUCAAUCUCGUUCUCAUAAAUGCAUUAGUCCAUUAGAAUCUAUUUCAUGCCUUUGCUAUACUUGUUCUCAUAUUGAUUUCCUUCUAAGUAAUGAUUAAUAAAUUCAAUAUGAAGAAGUAAAUUUCUUAUGAUUGAUCAAAAUGUUUAAACAGUGCAUAUUCCUCUUUCCUAAUGAUCUGCACUAGUGUUAAGGAGUUUACUUCAAGUCUAUGUGACUUAUGGAUGAUGAAUUGUUUUUAUUUCCUAUCUAAAGAAAUCAUCCUUCGUCAUAUAUUCCCUUGUGCUAUUAACAUCUUUCUUGAGUAUUUUCAAUAAGUUUGAAAGGAAAAAAGAAACAACUACAAAAGGGAGGACACUCACAUGAAAGAGAAGGACAUCAAGAACAACACCACCUACUUCUACAAAACAAUCAAUGUUGUGGUUGUGAGUACUCUAAAUCAUUUUCAUUGUGAGAAUAUCAGGCAUAAGGUGUUCAUUGAAAAUCUUAUAAGCCUUGAUCAAGAUGUAUAAUGCUUCUCCCUACACGUCUCUAAAAUGAAUGCAUCUAUUCAUCUCAUUAAAAUUCUUUGAUGCAUAUCUCUAGGGGGAGCCUAUUUCUAUAUCUUGAUUAUGUUGAGACUAUCGCUUUAUCCUAGUAAUCUCUUAUAGUCUCUUGCAUGAGAAUAAGUUUCUCAUGAUGUAUGCUACUACAUAUCAAUCCAACUUGUUAAAAUAAUGUCGCUCUUAUCAAGGAUUGUAGCUUUCAUUGCUAAAGUAGCAUAUGUAAUGGAUUCUCCUAUUUUAAGCUUAUCUAAUGCAUGUGUUGUUCUUUUGAUCACAUCUGUUAUUUGUCUGAUCAUUGAAUAACUUCAAUUAACACUUAUGUCUCUUAGUGCCGCAUAUUCUAUCAAUCAACAUCUAUCGUGGUAUGCACUAAGUUAAAAGGAGAAUUCAUGAUACAUCUAUGCAAUUUGUGAUCCAUUUGAUAUAUGCUGACAAUGACAUAGAAAAGGAUCACUAGUUGUAGAACUCUCUCUUGUGCAAAAUAUUUCCAUAUAUUGUCUUGAGUAUAGGUCUUAAGCAUCUAAGACUAAGGACAAAGCACAAUGAAGAGAGCGUCUCUACGUAAAGGUACAAAAGGGUAAAACUACUUCAUCUCAUUUAUACAUGUACCUAAAUCUUCCUUGUAUAUACAUUCUUAGCAUAUCUUGUAUAAAAGGAAGAGAAAGCAUGUCCAAGCAUUAUCUCUGCUUCAUACCUAGUUUAACCACUCAAAAAUCUCAUUCAUGCGUUAGUGCAUCUUUGUUAAAACUUGGUGAAGUAAUUUUAUUGUCAAAAGGCUUAAAGCUUAACCUUGUAACGAAGAUAAGCUGCCUUUGUUCCAAAGGUGGAUGGUCCUUAAGCCUCUUGAAAUCCUUAAGGGAAAAUGCUUAAAAUGUUUACAACAUGCUUUCAUAAGUGCAUAAACUGUCAUGAGCAUCACACUUAUACUAUGACACAAUGCACUUCACAUUCUCUAUGAUAUAGAAUCGUUCUCAGUAACCUAUUUAUGUGCAAUUGGCAUUUAAGGCCAAAAUAUGUUUUCAUCUCAAUGCACAUAUCUAGGGGGAGCAAUCUAUGUUAUAUAGAACUAUGAUUAUGCUUAAUUUGAUAUAUCCUUUGAUCAUAUCUCUUUUAUGUCUAUGACUAAUGUGUUUUCAAGUGCUUAGUCAUAGAAUUGAAAGGGAAAUGGAGUAUUCGGCAAAGACGACGCUUCCACUCAACUCCUUCGGUAUUAUCCACUCUUUGUCGGUAUUCCGCAUGAUUCUUCACUUUGGUAUAAUCUUCACUCAUAUUUAAUUGUUUGCCAUUGGGGAGAAAGAAAACAUGGCUUAUAUUUCACUCAAGUAUCUGUUUUUGGCGAUUCAUGCCAAAGGGGCAGAAAGUAUUAGCCCAAAGCAAAAGGACCGCACCACCCACCAUGAUUUUUUUAAAAAAAACAAAAAAAAUGAAGUUUUCAAAUUAAUAUCUUAUUGUGUUCAAAAAGGGGGAGUAUCUUCAAAAAUUUGUAAAACCCUCUUGAACACUAAGAGAAGAAUUUCAUUGAGGGGGAGUUUUAUUUUAGUCAAAGGAAAAGCAUUUGAAACAGGGGGAGAAAAUCUCAAAUCUUGAAAAUGCUUCUUUUCAUUCUUACUCAUAUACCUUUGACUACUUGCAAAAUGUUUUUGAAAAAGAAUUUUAUAAAGAAUUUGCAAAAACAAAACUUAUGGUGCAAGCGUGGUCCAAAAUAUUAAUCAAGAAGAAAAGCAAACCAUGCAUAUCUAGCAAAAGAAAUAUUAUUGGUUUCAUUCCAAGUAACUUUUGCACUUACAUUAUGCAAACUAGUUCAAUUCUGCACAUUUAUAUUUGCUUUGGUUGUGUUGGCAUCAAUCACCAAAAAGGGGGAGAUUGAAAGGGAAAUAGGGUCAAACCUUUUCCAAUAUGAAUUUUGGUGGUUGAAUUGCCCAACACAAAUUAUUGGACUAACUAGUUUGCUCUAGAGUGUAUGUUCUACAGGUGCCAAAGGUUCAACUCAAAACCAAUACAAAGAUCAAAAAGGGUUCAAAAAGAAAGGAGCAAAGGAAACUGAAGUGCUCCCUGGUCUGGCGCACUGGACUGUCCGGUGUGCCACCGGACAGUGUCCGGUGCACCAGGGAGGAUCGACUUCAAACUCUUCACCUUCGGGUUUCCCAGGCACACCUCCGCUAUAAUUCACCGGGCUGCCCGGUGUGCCACCGGACUGUUCGGUGAGCCAGCGGAGCAACUGUCAUCUGCGCGCAAUGGUCGACUCUGCAAAGCAAACAGUGCAAAUCAGAUGUCAGAGCAGACGGUCAGAGGGGCACCGGACUGUCCGGUGUCGCACCGGACUGUCCGGUGCCACAUGAGGACAAAGCCUCCAACGGUCGACCAGCUCCAACCCUAACGAAGAGGAUGAUGUGGCGGCGCACCGAACACUGUCCGGUGGCGCACCGGACACUGUCUGGUGCGCCCAUCGCCAGCAGCCUUCUCCAACGGCUACAUUUUGGUUGGUGGCUAUAAAUACCACCCCAACCGGCCACUUCAAAGUGGGGGAGCCCAAGCAACAUUCCAAGUCAUCCAGUGGACAUACUCAAGCCCUUCCAACCACACAUAUUCAUUGAUCCAUCCUAUACACAAGAUCUAGACCACUACAACCAACACAAGUGCCACAAAGGAGAGAGCAAGCAAAAGAAAGCCUCUCGUGUGAGUUUAGCUCUAGUGCCUUGUGAGAUUCUUUGAGAGAAAGUGUGUGCUACAUCUUGCGUUCAUUUGCGCGUGGAGUUUUGACUCCCAUUGAACUUCCUCCAAAGUUUUGGAGGCUUGUAAAGCUAGCAAGAGACACCAAAGUGUGUGGUGGUCCUUGUGGGGUCUUAAGUGAUCCUUGAGAAGAAGAAGAGCUCGCCGGUCUUGCGUGAUCGGUGGAGAGAGGGAAAGGGUUGAAAGAGACCCAUCCUUAGUGGACUCCUCAACGGGUACUAGGCCUUCAAGGGCCGAACCUCAGUAAAACAAAUCACCCGUGUCUCGUGUGCUUAUUGCUUGUGAUUUGUUUGUUCUUUCCCUUUCCAAGUUCUUCUUGCACUAUUCGUUGCUAAUACUAUUUGGUGUUGCUUCAAGUAGCAUUCUCAUUUGGUGGAGCAACACCUUGCAAGAAAGAACUUGUGUUAUUGCUUUUCUUAUCUAAGCCCUCUUGCUUUAUUCUCAUAGACUUAUUAGUAGUAUUGAUUUAUCAAUUCCGCAUUAUUUAGUCAUACUCUUUACAAGCAAAGGACUAAGUUCUCAUACUCCGAUAAUUGUGUAUCUUGUUCUAACCACUAAUCAAAGGAUCUAGUUGGGGGAUAAAUUUUUAAUUUUCAGGUUUCGCCUAUCCACCCCCCCUCUAGGCGACUUUCACUGUCUAUGAUAGGGUCUUUACUUUAUUUAUGUGCUAGUAGACCGGACAUUAUGCUUAGUGUAUGCAUGUGUGCUAGAUUUCAAUCCGACCCCAGGGAAUGUCACCUUGUGGCCGUUAAGCGAAUUCUUAGGUAUUUAGUUGCUAUGCCUUGCUUCGGGAUCUGGUUCAAAGGGGUCUACCUUUGACUUGAUUGGAUAUUCAGACUCUGAUUAUGCUGGAUGCAAGGUUGAUAGGAAGAGUACAUCAAGGACGUGCCAAUUCCUAGGAAGGUCCCUGGUGUCGUGGAGUUCAAAGAAACAAACAUCCGUUGCCCUAUCCACCGCUGAGGCCGAGUAUGUUGCCGUAGGACAGUGUUGCGUGCAACUACUUUGGAUGAGGCAAACCCUCUGGGACUUUGGCUACAAUCUGAGCAAAGUCCCACUCCUAUGUGAUAAUGAGAGUGCAAUCCGCAUGGCAAAUAAUCCUGUUGAACACAGCCGCACUAAGCACAUAGACAUCCGACAUCACUUUUUGAGAGACCACCAGCAAAAGGGAGAUAUCAAGGUGUACCAUAUUAACACCGAGAACUAGCUAGUCGAUAUCUUCACCAAGCCUUUAGAUGAGAAAAGGUUUUGCAGGUUGCGUAGUGAGCUAAAUGUCUUAGAUUCGCGUAACUUGGAUUGAUCUAUAGAAUACAUGUGUUCUAUGCCUUUGAUUAUGCUACUUUAUGCAUUUCAAUUCAUUAAUGUUUAUUUGUGGUGCUCAAGUUGUACACAUGAUCCCCGGACCUCACAAGUCCAUUUGCAAGUGAUGCACUUAUUUAGGGGGAGAUAUGCUUCAACUUGACCCUUGAGACUAAUCUUUGUGUUUGAGUAUUCUUGAUGUAGUCUCAAAGGUGCAUUGAAAGGGAAAAUGGACUUGGACAUUGCAAAGACUUCCACUGCACUCCGGUAUUGGUGUAUUUACUUCCAAGUUCAUACCUAUGCUCUUAUUGCCUUUUUGCUCUUAAUUGACAUUUUUGGUGAGGCAAUGGGGUUAAAGGGCCAAAAAUAAUCCCGUUUUGGUGCUUAAUGCCAAAGGGGGAGAAAUUAAGGCCAAAGCAAAUGGAUCAGCUACCACUUGUGAAUUUUGAAAAUAAUUGAGUUAGAACUUUUGAUUUAUUCAAAAUACUCUUAUUGCAAAAUUUGGUCUCUUGUGGGGGAGAAUUUUGAUUAUGAGAAAAAUGGGGAGUUUUUGGCACUUGAUUAAUUUCACUCUUGCAUUAUCUCUCUUUGUGCCCAAACAAGUGUGUUUGACCUAGAGAUAGGAAAAUGAAUUUGAUUUGCAAAAACAAACCAAGUGGUGGCAAAGAAUGAUCCAAAUUUGCAUUAAUAUUGCACUUCUUUUGGUUGCUUUUGGAUGUGUUGGCAUAAAUCACCAAAAAGGGGGAGAUUGAAAGGGAAAUGUACCCUUGGGCAAUUUCUAUUAUGUUUUGGUGAUUAAGUGCCCAACACAUUUAAUUAAGUUCUUAUGUGCUAAAUGAAGAGAAAAGUGCAAAUCAAGACAUGAGGUAUGUUUCUAGACUUAGUACAUUUGCUUUUGAAUACUGGUGAAGUUAUCUAAGUGUUAGAAACAGAGAAAAGAAGAAAAGAAAAGGAUUGUAAAAGACUGGUUGUGUGCAGCCGAAGCUCAGCUCAGUCUGGCACACCAGACAGUCUGGUGGUGCACCGGACAGUGUCCGGUGCGCCAGGCUGGACUCCGAUGAGAAGGCCGCUCUCGGGAAAAGUUUGGCGGCGUAUGACUAUAAUUCACCGGACUGUCCGGUGGUGCACCGGACUGUCCGGUGAGCCAACGGUCGGUCGCGCAAUCCGCGGGCGACGCGUGGACCGCGCCAACGGUCGGUAGGUGGCACCGGACUGUCCGGUGCGCCAACCGGCCCAGAGCUACAACGGUCGUCUACACCAGAAAAGGAAGGAGAUCGGCACCGGACCAUCUAUAGUGACUAUCCGGUGCGCCACUCGACAGAAGGCAAGGAUAGCCUUCCUUGUUAAUCUUCAACGGCUCCUAGCUGCCUUGGGGCUAUAAAAGGGACCCCUAGGCGCAUGGAGGAGAAAAACAAGCAUUCACUAAGCAUCCUAAGGCAUCCAAACUUCAUUCCCGCGCAUUUGUUUUGUUGUGUUAGAGAUUUGAGCUCUAUUCGAGUCAAGGACUCCCUGUGUUGUCAUUUGAGCUCAAGUCUUCUCUUGUGUGCGUGGGUGUGCUGCGAUUUGUGUCUUGUGUGUGUUGCUCAUCCCAACCUUACUCCGUGCUUUCAUUGUGAUCUUUGUUUUAAGGGCGAGAGACUCCAAUCUUGUGAAGAUUCCUCGCAAACGGGAAUAAUCAUCUCAAUGAAAAACCGUGAUAUUCAAGUUGAUCAUCGGAUCACUUGAAAGGGGUUGAGUGCAACCCUCGUCCAUUGGGACGCCACAAUGUGAAAGUAGGCAAGUGUUACUUGGCCGAACCACGGGAUAAAAAUCGCGUGUCUUGUGUUGAUCUUUUUGUGAUUGUUUUGUCCACAAGAAUUCGCUUCUCAACUACUUAGUCGCACUAACAUUUCUAUAACCAAGUUUUGUGGCUAUUUAGUGUUGAAUUUUACAGGAUCACCUAUUCACCCCCCCCCUCUAGGUGCUCUCAGCCUCGCUCGAUGAUUUGUUUGGAGCCUUUGAUCAUCAAUUCAAAGCUCACAAACUUUCCUAUAACCUCCUCGGGAGACAUUAGCUUGUAUCUAGGAUCACCACGAAUUAAUUGAACUUGUGUAGGAUUAAGAAAAACGAGUCAUCUUAGAAUAACCUUGACCAUUUCAUGGUCAUCCCAUUUUGUGCUCCCGAGGUUGCGCACUUGAUUCACCAAGGUCUUGAGUCGGUUGUACAUGGCUUGUGGCUCCUCUCCUUAGUUAAGCAUGAAUCGACCGAGCUCCCCCUCGAUCGUCUCCCGCUUAGUGAUCUUUGUCACCUCAUCUCCUUCGUGCGCGGUUUUGAGCACGUCCCAAAUCUCUUUAGCACUCUUCAACCCUUGCACCUUAUUAUACUCCUCUCGACUUAGAGAGGCGAGGAGUAUAGUAGUGGCUUGGGAGUUGAAAUGCCGAAUUUGGGCAACUUCGUCCGAGUCAUAGCCUUCGUCCCCCGGCGAUGGUACCUGCGCUCCAAACCUAACAAUGUCCCAAAUACUAGCGUGGAGUGAGGUUAGGUGAUGCCUCAUUUUAUCACUCCACAUGUUAUAAUCUUCACCCUAAAAAACGGGUGCUUUGCCUAGUGGGACAGAAAGUAGAGGAGUGCGUCUAGAGAUACGGGGAUAACGAAGUGGCAUCUUACUAUACUUCUUGUGCUCAUGGCGCUUAGAAGUGACGGACGGCGCAUCGGAGCCGGAGGUUGAUGGCGACGAAGAAUCGAUCUCGUAGUAGACCACCUUCUUCAUCUUCUUUUUCUUUUCGCCGCUACGAAGCGACUUGGCAUGUGAAGGGGAUCCCUUCACCUUGUUGCCGGACUCUCCCGAUGGAGUCUUCCCGUGGCUUGUGGCGGGCUUCUCGCCGGUCACGACCUCCUUCUUGGCGUGAUCUCCCGACAUCACUUCGAGCGGUUAGGCUCUAAUGAAGUACCAGGCUCUGAUACAAAUUGAAAGUCGCCUAGAGGGGGGCGAAUAGGCGGAAUCUGAAAAUUAUAAACUUAAGCACACACUACAAGCCAGGGUUAGCGUUAGAAAUAAAAUCGAGUCCGAAAAAGAGGGUGAAAACAAAUCAAAAGAAAAUGAAGCGGAUGACACGGUGAUUUGUUUUACCGAGGUUCGGUUCUUGCAAACCUACUCCUAGUUGAGGUGGUCACAAAGACCGGGUCUCUUUCAACCCUUUCCCUCUCUCAAACAGUCACCUAGACCGAGUGAGCUUUUCUCCUUAAUCAAAUGGGUCACUUAGACCCCUACAAGGACCACCACAACUUGGUGUCUCUUGCUUUGAUUACAAGUGUCUUGAGAACAAGAAAGAGGAAGAAGAAAAGCAAUCCAAGUGCAAGAGCUCAAAGAACACGAGCAAAACUCUCUCUUCUAGUCACUAAUUGCUUUGAGUGGAAUUGGGAAUUGGAGAGGCUUUGAUUCAAUCUAAUUAUGUCUUGUAUUGAAUGCACUAGCUCUUGUAUUGAGUGAGAUGUCUGAAAAACUUGGAUGCAUUGAAGUGUGGUGGUUG
RNAcentral lists this long non-coding RNA (43712 nucleotides) under Zea mays. RNAcentral's name for it is "long non-coding RNA (ZMAY_LNC000606)". The record is from RNAcentral. Lineage: Eukaryota; Viridiplantae; Streptophyta; Magnoliopsida; Poales; Poaceae.